UAGUUUGCAUUGUUGUAUUGA
Non-coding RNA from Caenorhabditis elegans, 21 nucleotides. Lineage: Eukaryota; Metazoa; Nematoda; Chromadorea; Rhabditida; Rhabditidae. The record is from Ensembl.